RNAcentral lists this ribosomal RNA (652 nucleotides) under uncultured bacterium. Its description in RNAcentral is "bacterial SSU rRNA". It matches the Rfam family "Bacterial small subunit ribosomal RNA", at positions 8 to 655 of the family's 1533-position model. The record is from RNAcentral.
AGAGUUUGAUCAUGGCUCAGAUUGAACGCUGGCGGCAUGCCUUACACAUGCAAGUCGAACGGCAGCACGGGAGCAAUCCUGGUGGCGAGUGGCGAACGGGUGAGUAAUGCAUCGGAACGUGCCAUUGAGUGGGGGAUAACGUAGCGAAAGUUACGCUAAUACCGCAUAUUCUGUGCGCAGGAAAGCAGGGGAUCGCAAGACCUUGCGCUCUUUGAGCGGCCGAUGUCAGAUUAGCUAGUUGGUGAGGUAAAGGCUCACCAAGGCGACGAUCUGUAGCGGGUCUGAGAGGAUGAUCCGCCACACUGGGACUGAGACACGGCCCAGACUCCUACGGGAGGCAGCAGUGGGGAAUUUUGGACAAUGGGGGCAACCCUGAUCCAGCCAUGCCGCGUGAGUGAAGAAGGCCUUCGGGUUGUAAAGCUCUUUCGGCCGGGAAGAAAUCGCACAGGUUAAUACCCUGUGUGGAUGACGGUACCGGACUAAGAAGCACCGGCUAACUACGUGCCAGCAGCCGCGGUAAUACGUAGGGUGCGAGCGUUAAUCGGAAUUACUGGGCGUAAAGCGUGCGCAGGCGGUUUUGUAAGACAGGCGUGAAAUCCCCGGGCUCAACCUGGGAACUGCGUUUGUGACUGCAAGGCUAGAGUAUGGCAGA